CCUCAUGGCUUGGUCACAGUGUC
This 23-nucleotide microRNA is filed under the name Bos taurus (domestic cattle). Its description in RNAcentral is "Bta-Mir-1329_3p* (star (passenger))". Lineage: Eukaryota; Metazoa; Chordata; Mammalia; Artiodactyla; Bovidae. The record is from RNAcentral.